This 460-nucleotide ribosomal RNA is filed under the name uncultured bacterium. RNAcentral describes it as "partial 16S ribosomal RNA". It matches the Rfam family "Bacterial small subunit ribosomal RNA", at positions 338 to 795 of the family's 1533-position model. The record is from RNAcentral.
CCUACGGGAGGCAGCAGUGAGGAAUAUUGGUCAAUGGGCGAGAGCCUGAAGCAGCCAAGCCGCGUGAAGGAUGGAGGACCUAUGGGUUGUAAAGUUCUUUUAUCAGGGAAUAAAGAGAAGUACGUGUUGCUUUUUGUAUGUACCUUACGAAUAAGCAUCGGCUAACUCCGUGCCAGCAGCCGCGGUAAUACGGAGGAUGAGAGCGUUAUACGGAUUUAUUGGGUUUAAGGGGUGCGUAGGUGGUUAAUUAAGUCAGCGGUGAAAGUUUGUGGCUCAACCAUAAAAUUGCCGUUGAAACUGGUUGACUUGAGUAUAUUUGAGGUAGGCGGAAUGCGUGGUGUAGCGGUGAAAUGCAUAGAUAUCACGCAGAACUCCGAUUGCGAAGGCAGCUUACUAAGCUAUAACUGACACUGAAGCACGAAAGCGUGGGGAUCAAACAGGAUUAGAUACCCCUGUAGUC